Molecule: ribosomal RNA, 226 nt
Filed under: uncultured Lactobacillus sp.
Lineage: Bacteria; Bacillati; Bacillota; Bacilli; Lactobacillales; Lactobacillaceae
Description: partial 16S ribosomal RNA
Rfam family: Bacterial small subunit ribosomal RNA
Source: RNAcentral
GAUCGGGAUAACACCUGGAAACAGAUGCUAAUACCGGAUAACAACAGAUGAUGCCUAUCAACUGUUUAAAAGAUGGUUCUGCUAUCACUCUUGGAUGGACCUGCGGUGCAUUAGCUAGUUGGUAGGGUAACGGCCUACCAAGGCGAUGAUGCAUAGCCGAGUUGAGAGACUGAUCGGCCACAUUGGGACUGAGACACGGCCCAAACUCCUACGGGAGGCAGCAGUU